UAAGGAAUAUUGGUCAAUGGGCGCAGGCCUGAACCAGCCAAGCAGCGUGAAGGAUGAAGGCCUUAGGGUUGUAAAGCUCUUUCGCACGCGACGAUGAUGACGGUAGCGUGAGAAGAAGCCCCGGCUAACUUCGUGCCAGCAGCCGCGGUAAUACGAAGGGGGCAAGCGUUGUUCGGAAUUACUGGGCGUAAAGCGCACGCAGGCGGCGUGACGCGUCAGAAGUGAAAUCCCCGGGCUCAACCUGGGAACUGCUUUUGAAACUGUUUUGCUAGAGUGCAGGAGAGGUAAGUGGAAUUCCUAGUGUAGCGGUGAAAUGCAUAGAUAUUACACAGAACACCUAUUGCGAAGGCAGCUGAC
RNAcentral lists this ribosomal RNA (357 nucleotides) under uncultured bacterium. Its description in RNAcentral is "bacterial SSU rRNA". It matches the Rfam family "Bacterial small subunit ribosomal RNA", at positions 355 to 729 of the family's 1533-position model. The record is from RNAcentral.